UGAUAAAUAAAACCCUAGUUUUAAAAAGACCUAAUUCCUUUUAUCUCGAGCCGAAACCCUCUUUCUCACACGCGACGCCGCGCGAUCCUUCUCCUCUCUCGGCGGAAACGAAGAAGCAGGCGUUAGGGCUCGAUCUCUGGCGCCGGCGAAGGCUUUUCCUAGUCAAUCUUCACCCGUGCGUGGUUACCUCGACGAAGGAAGCCCGAAAACACCAAAGAGCCGCCGAGAUCUUCACCUAGAACCUACUUCCUCCUUUGGUUGGGGGCUCAUCCGAACCCUAGAAUUCUUCUCCUUCAGCAGUAAGUCCAAGAAAGCAUAUUUCUUUUUCCUCCUACUGCAAAUAAAGGAAAAGCUAAAGUAUGAAAGGAAGGCGACAAGGUGGUGGUGAUGGAGGUGUGUGAUGGCUGGACUAUGGGGAGAUCAAGACUUUCCUAUUUAGAGUUCUUUUAGUUUAAAUACUAUUAUGAAGUUGGGAUUGUAAUUGAUUUUAUUCCAUACUUGUAGCUUGAUAUGUCCUUUUGUUGGAGUUAGAUAUUUGUUUACUAUUGCUAGAAUAGUUUUCUUUUA
This is a long non-coding RNA of Zingiber officinale, 567 nucleotides long. RefSeq lists it as uncharacterized. The record is from RefSeq and is a predicted model, not a curated record. Lineage: Eukaryota; Viridiplantae; Streptophyta; Magnoliopsida; Zingiberales; Zingiberaceae. The transcript is spliced from 2 exons.